This 493-nucleotide ribosomal RNA is filed under the name uncultured bacterium. Its description in RNAcentral is "bacterial SSU rRNA". It matches the Rfam family "Bacterial small subunit ribosomal RNA", at positions 30 to 518 of the family's 1533-position model. The record is from RNAcentral.
AUUGAACGCUGGCGGCAUGCCUUACACAUGCAAGUCGAACGGUAACAGGUCUUCGGAUGCUGACGAGUGGCGAACGGGUGAGUAAUAUAUCGGAACGUGCCCAGUCGUGGGGGAUAACGCAGCGAAAGCUGUGCUAAUACCGCAUACGAUCUACGGAUGAAAGCAGGGGACCGCAAGGCCUUGCGCGGACGGAGCGGCCGAUGGCAGAUUAGGUAGUUGGUGGGAUAAAAGCUUACCAAGCCGACGAUCUGUAGCUGGUCUGAGAGGACGACCAGCCACACUGGGACUGAGACACGGCCCAGACUCCUACGGGAGGCAGCAGUGGGGAAUUUUGGACAAUGGGCGCAAGCCUGAUCCAGCCAUGCCGCGUGCAGGAUGAAGGCCUUCGGGUUGUAAACUGCUUUUGUACGGAACGAAAGACUCUUUCUAAUAAAGAGGGUCCAUGACGGUACCGUAAGAAUAAGCACCGGCUAACUACGUGCCAGCAGCCGAC